CCGUCGAGUUAUGCUGGCAUGGCAUCUGAGCAGUUCUCACAGACCCGAAGCGGGGAGACUCGAAGGUGGAAGGGAGAGGGAGAGACAUAUAGGUUGCCUCUGGCAUGCACCCCGACGGGGGCCAGGGAGCAAGCCUGCAACUGAGUUACAUGCCCUUGACUGCAAUCAAAUCCACAACCCUUCAGUCUCAGGGCUGAUGCUCUAACCACUGUCAGCAAACCAGCCAGGGCAGUAAGCAAGUUAAUACAGUAUGAAGCUGAUGAAAGAUGCUUUGAAGACUGAUUAAAGGCACAGAGGUGGGAGAGAAAGUGGCGGCCUACAGUUUCACUGCACUGGGAGGUCUGAGGAUCCUGGAGAAGAAGUAACUGCAGAGGAGGGACUUGAACAGUCAGCGUGUCAUUUCCCCUGAGGGACACUCGCUGUUCCUACGUUUAUCACGUGCAGGCGGAGAGGCUUAGAAACCAAGCAGCAGCAUCUGGGAGUCUAAAAAGAAAGACUGCGCUUCCGGGUGUCACUGGAACCGACUCAUUUCACACGGCCGUGUCUCUCCACACGGUGUCCCUCUGCCUGGCAGGUCCCGACGGCCACGGAGCCUGUCCUUCACCACCACCGCCCCCUGCACAGCUGGCAGCCUCGAGUUUUCACCAAGCCUUGAGCACGUGUGUCACCGAGUGUCUCAGACUGAAAGGAAAUGCUCCUUUUUCACCUCCUCUGUCUCCCCGAGAGCAGGUGCGUGCCGGUUCAUCUCCCCAGCACCUCACUGGAAGCCUGGCGUCUGGUAAAAUCUCAAUGAACAUCUGCUGAACUGAAUGAUCUAAACUCCAGCUAGACUAGUAGGAGCAUUUUUAAAAAGCCACCCAAAUGCCUUCAU
Molecule: long non-coding RNA, 871 nt
Organism: Myotis lucifugus (little brown bat)
Lineage: Eukaryota; Metazoa; Chordata; Mammalia; Chiroptera; Vespertilionidae
Exons: 5
Source: RefSeq, a predicted model, not a curated record